RNAcentral lists this ribosomal RNA (1003 nucleotides) under uncultured bacterium. Its description in RNAcentral is "bacterial SSU rRNA". It matches the Rfam family "Bacterial small subunit ribosomal RNA", at positions 355 to 1375 of the family's 1533-position model. The record is from RNAcentral.
UGGGGAAUAUUGCACAAUGGGCGAAAGCCUGAUGCAGCAACGCCGCGUGAGUGAAGAAGUAUCUCGGUAUGUAAAGCUCUAUCAACAGGGACGAAGAAAGUGACGGUACCUGAAUAAGAAGCCCCGGCUAACUACGUGCCAGCAGCCGCGGUAAUACGUAGGGGGCAAGCGUUAUCCGGAAUUACUGGGUGUAAAGGGAGCGUAGGCGGCACGCCAAGCCAGAUGUGAAAGCCCGAGGCUUAACCUCGCGGAUUGCAUUUGGAACUGGCGAGCUAGAGUACAGGAGAGGAAAGCGGAAUUCCUAGUGUAGCGGUGAAAUGCGUAGAUAUUAGGAAGAACACCAGUGGCGAAGGCGGCUUUCUGGACUGAAACUGACGCUGAGGCUCGAAAGCGUGGGGAGCAAACAGGAUUAGAUACCCUGGUAGUCCACGCCGUAAACGAUGAGUGCUAGGUGUCGGGGAGGAAUCCUCGGUGCCGCAGCUAACGCAAUAAGCACUCCACCUGGGGAGUACGACCGCAAGGUUGAAACUCAAAGGAAUUGACGGGGGCCCGCACAAGCGGUGGAGCAUGUGGUUUAAUUCGAAGCAACGCGAAGAACCUUACCAAGGCUUGACAUCCCGAUGACCGCUCUAGAGAUAGAGUUUCUCUUCGGAGCAUCGGUGACAGGUGGUGCAUGGUUGUCGUCAGCUCGUGUCGUGAGAUGUUGGGUUAAGUCCCGCAACGAGCGCAACCCUUAUCCUUAGUAGCCAUCAUUGAGUUGGGCACUCUAGGGAGACUGCCGUGGAUAACACGGAGGAAGGUGGGGAUGACGUCAAAUCAUCAUGCCCCUUAUGUCUUGGGCUACACACGUGCUACAAUGGCUGGUAACAGAGUGAAGCGAGACGGCGACGUUAAGCAAAUCACAAAAACCCAGUCCCAGUUCGGAUUGUAGUCUGCAACUCGACUACAUGAAGCUGGAAUCGCUAGUAAUCGCGAAUCAGAAUGUCGCGGUGAAUACGUUCCC